CUCUCUCCCACUCCUCUCCCUCCUUGUUUUUCAUGACGGGCCAGAUAUAGAGGGGAGAACAGAGGACAACACUGCAGGACAAGGACAAACUCAUCAGUCGUCUCCAGGAUUGUCUCACUAUCUGCCAGACAGCAGUGUGUCUGUCACUUCCAGCCAGUCUUGUGUUCCUCUGGUGUGGAAGAGGUAUUGAUCUGGAAUCAGAGUCCUCCUCUGUCCUCCUCCAGGCUCAGGAUGAGACACGGGGCCGUGUCCCAACAUGACAUCCUAUUCUCUCCUACCUCGUCUCACUUCCUCUCCUUUUGCUCUAGAUAAGAACAGGGUGCCAUUUGGCACGGAGCCUGAGCCACACAGUGAUGAACAAAACCUCUGUGGUGAUUCUCUCCUCCAAUCAGCAUCAGGGGGAAAGAGUUGUAGAGGUUCUGUUGUGACAACGAGGGAUGGCAGGGUAGAGGUUCUGUUGUGACAACGAGGGAUGGCAGGGUAGAGGUUCUGUUGUGACAACGAGGGAUGGCAGGGUAGAGGUUCUGUUGUGACAACGAGGGAUGGCAGGGUAGAGGUUCUGUUGUGACACAACGAGGGAUGGCAGGGUAGAGGUUCUGUUGUGACACAACGAGGGAUGGCAGGGUAGAGGUUCUGUUGUGACAACAAGGGAUGGCAGGGUAGAGGUUCUGUUGUGACAACAAGGGAUGGCAGGGUAGAGGUUCUGUUGUGACAACGAGGGAUGGCAGGGUAGAGGUUCUGUUGUGACAACGAGGGAUGGCAGGGUAGAGGUUCUGUUGUGACACAACAAGGGAUGGCAGGGUAGAGGUUCUGUUGUGACAACAAGGGAUGGCAGGGUAGAGGUUCUGUUGUGACAACGAGGGAUGGCAGGGUCUCUACAUACUUUCUCUCUCCACGCUCUAUUACCCAGCGAAGUUAAAGCUCAGUGUUUCACUUCCUGACUCUCCCUCUCCUGGGCCCUUGGCUGGUUAGCUAGGUGUUGUGGUUGGGGAGACUCUUCCAAACCUUAACCAUAAACAGUCAAAAUUAAUUCCUGAACUUAACCAUCGAGUUUUGAAGUUUAUGGACAAGUGUUCUGAAGUGAGACCGUGAGAAAUAUAUACAUUUAAAAACCUUUUACCCCUUUUGCCCACAAUCUGGUGAUAUCUGGUAGUUAGUCUUGUCCCAUCGCUGCAACUCCCCUACGGACUCUGGAGAUGCGGAGGUCGAGAGCCGUGCGUCCUCCGAUACACGACCCUGCCAAGCCACACUGCUUCUUGACACGCUGUUCGCUUCACCCGGAAACCAGCCGCACCAAUGUGUCGGAGGAAACAC
Long non-coding RNA from Oncorhynchus keta (chum salmon), 1314 nucleotides. RefSeq lists it as uncharacterized. Lineage: Eukaryota; Metazoa; Chordata; Actinopteri; Salmoniformes; Salmonidae. The record is from RefSeq and is a predicted model, not a curated record. The transcript has 3 exons.